This 253-nucleotide ribosomal RNA is filed under the name uncultured bacterium. RNAcentral's name for it is "partial 16S ribosomal RNA". It matches the Rfam family "Bacterial small subunit ribosomal RNA", at positions 524 to 776 of the family's 1533-position model. The record is from RNAcentral.
UACGUAGGGGGCAAGCGUUGUUCGGAAUUACUGGGCGUAAAGGGCUCGUAGGCGGCCAACUAAGUCCGACGUGAAAUCCCCAGGCUUAACCUGGGAACUGCGUCGGAUACUGGAUGGCUUGAAUCCGGGAGAGGGAUGCGGAAUUCCAGGUGUAGCGGUGAAAUGCGUAGAUAUCUGGAGGAACACCGGUGGCGAAGGCGGCAUCCUGGACCGGCAUUGACGCUGAGGAGCGAAAGCCAGGGGAGCAAACGGG